Molecule: ribosomal RNA, 230 nt
Filed under: uncultured Glomeromycotina
Lineage: Eukaryota; Fungi; Glomeromycota
Description: partial 18S ribosomal RNA
Rfam family: Eukaryotic small subunit ribosomal RNA (bases 46-230)
Source: RNAcentral
AGACCGGCUUACUGGUCGUGCUAUUGUACGUACUAGUAUAAUCGGUUUCUCCUUUCUGACGAACUUUAGUGCCAUUAAUUUGGUGUUUUAGGGAAUCAGGACUGUUACUUUGAAAAAAUUAGAGUGUUUAAAGCAGGCUCACGCUUGAAUACAUUAGCAUGGAAUAACGGAAUAGGACGUUUGAUUCUAUUUUGUUGGUUUCUAGGAUCGACGUAAUGAUUAAUAGGGAU